RNAcentral lists this ribosomal RNA (369 nucleotides) under Artemia parthenogenetic lineage. RNAcentral describes it as "Artemia parthenogenetica partial 12S ribosomal RNA". The record is from RNAcentral. Lineage: Eukaryota; Metazoa; Arthropoda; Branchiopoda; Anostraca; Artemiidae.
AACCUAAAGAAUUUGGCGGUUUCUAAACCUACUAGAGGAACCUGCCCCAUAAACGACAAUCCACGAAAAAAUUCACCCGGGCUAGUUAUGCAGCUUAUAUACCGUCGUUUAGAGGACUAAAUAAAUAGAUCCUCUUAAAAGCUUAGGCUAAUAAAUCAGAUCAAGGUGUAGCUCAUGCCCGGGAGAGGGUGGGUUACAAUGAAAAUUCAUACGGAGCUUUUAUUUUAUGAUAGAAAAGAAGGUGGAUUUAGAAGUAAGACUUAAUAUACUGAAAAAGGCUCUCAGAAAUGUACACAUCGCCCGUCGCUCUCUUGUUCGAAGAGAUAAGUCGUAACAAAGUAGGUGGACCGGAAGGUCUAUCUCGAAAGA